Pelobates cultripes (western spadefoot toad) is the source of this 305-nucleotide non-coding RNA. The record is from the annotation of a GenBank genome assembly. NCBI's taxonomy places the organism in Eukaryota, Metazoa, Chordata, Amphibia, Anura, Pelobatidae.
CCCUUUGUUUAUGAACCCUAGUCACACCUCCCUGCAUGUGACUUGCACAGCCUUCCAUAAACACUUCCUGUAAAGAGAGCCCUAUUUAGGCUUUCUUUAUUGCAAGUUCUGUUUAAUUAAGAUUUUCUUAUCCCCUGCUAUGUUAAUAGCUUGCUAGACCCUGCAAGAGCCUCCUGUAUGUGAUUAAAGUUCAAUUUAGAGAUUGAGAUACAAUUAUUUAAGGUAAAUUACAUCUGUUUGAAAGUGAAACCAGUUUUUUUUUCAUGCAGGCUCUGUCGAUCAUAGCCAGGGGAGGUGUGGCUAGG